RNAcentral lists this long non-coding RNA (587 nucleotides) under Brassica napus (rape). Its description in RNAcentral is "long non-coding RNA (BNAP_LNC000969)". Lineage: Eukaryota; Viridiplantae; Streptophyta; Magnoliopsida; Brassicales; Brassicaceae. The record is from RNAcentral.
CCGAUCUAUACAUUCAAUAAUCAUAUAUAAAAGAUAGGAUCAAGGUGAUCAGGUACGGUUAAAACAUGGGCCUUUUUUACAACUGAAACUUUGCGUUGUCUCUUCUUAUAUCCAGUUGCUGAAACAGGGUUCAAAUUAGUUACAUGGAUGUUGACUUGAGGUUUUCGGACCUCUUUUACAAACUGAUAUGAAGGUAAUUAGACAAUUAAAAGGUUAGUCAUCUCACGUUUUUGUUGUGUUCUAUUGACAUUAAAUCUGUUUUUUUUUAAACCAAAUAUGCAGAACAAACAUUUAUUUUUUGCUUUUCAGAAUUGAUCUCCUUUCAGAUUGGAGUGCCAUAAACGUCAAUAAUACUUGUGAUUCUGCAAAGGACUGAUCUCAAUAAUACUUGUGAUUCUGCAAAGGACACUUAAACGGAUCAUCUAAUAAAUAUAGGUUUAAGUAGAACUUACAGUCUGAUCAGCUAACACGAAUUCUAGUGUUUCAUCGGCAUAGGGAGGGGUUUGUUUCCAUGAGCGAAUAACUUUCACUUGUAGACGCCAUUUACUUUUAAAAGGCCUCAAUCCGUUUAUAAAAGUAAGAUUCUU